This 215-nucleotide long non-coding RNA is filed under the name Lathyrus oleraceus (garden pea). RNAcentral's name for it is "Pisum sativum (pea) long non-coding RNA (PSAT_LNC031052)". The record is from RNAcentral. Lineage: Eukaryota; Viridiplantae; Streptophyta; Magnoliopsida; Fabales; Fabaceae.
GACCUUCUCGCUGUUGUAGAAUCCGAAUAAUGGCCUUUCCAUAUUCGUGUCCAAGGUGUUUCAUUUUUGCUGAUGGCCAUCAACCCAACAAUGUUUCUCUUCACUGUGCUCUUAUAAAGAUUACUUGACCUAGGAACUCCUCAUAUAAUGAAAGAAAUAUAUUGGCGCUUCCUCUUAUGUCUUUCAUCUUCCCCACUACUUGCUUCAUUGCUUUU